UAUAUAGUAUAUAAACAUAUAUUGUGACAUAUUUAUGCAUUUCAGUUCUCGAUUAUAUGUUUUGAAACUAUUUGCUAUUUUUUAAUAUCACUUCAUAUUAUUAUUUUUUUAAACAAUUUCUUGGUGAUUUCUUCCUCAGUAGUUCAACUGUCCUUUCACCCUUUUAUUUUUCUCUUUCAUAGAUACCAUGUUCUUUGGGGGCUUGUUAAGAAGUGGAGCUGACUAGGGGACGAGCAAUGGAUUUGGCCUCACUGGUUUUGGCAUAAGGCAAGACAUGCGUGUAGAAACGCCCAGCACACGGUUCGAUAUGGGACUAAAGGUGGACCAACUGGACAGAAAAUCAAAAUAAAGAAGGUGAAAUUCAGAAAGAUUGCACAAGAGAGCCAGUUUUCAGCUGCCACACAGAGGAAGACACAGCCAGUAAGUCCCGAAGAGUAGCAGCCAAUCAACAGAGAAACAGCCGCUUCUCCAGGGCUGUCAGUGACCUGAAGGGACUUGUCACUUUGAUCAUCAGCUGGUAUUUGGACUUCAAGGGCAAGUUUGCCCAUAUUUCCCCUUCUCUGAGCCACCUUGCUUCCCCCACACCCAGCCCUCUAUGUCCAAGUCCUAAGCAUGCUCCGGGGUCCUUCUCUGAUGCCGCCAUCUUCUCAGACCUGGCCGGCAUCUCCUCCUUCUCCAAAUCAUCAGAGCUUUUAUUUCCCUUCACCUCUCCUGUCAUUUUCUCUCUUGUGGUGCAGAUAUUUAUGUAGGUGUAUGUCCCACGUCCUGUACUCCUCUGUAUGCUUAAGCUCUUGGAGGAAUUAAGUCUCUCGGCACACAGUACGCAUCCAGGAUACCUGUUGAAUGAAUUAAUGGCUGCUCAGUGUCAAACACUAUUCUAGGUAUUGGGAAUACAGAGAUGAAUUACCUUUGCAUGAACCCCAUUUGCAGGGAAACCUGGUCUCCUAUGGGGAGACCCAUAAAAAAGAUGAUGGAAAAGUAGGAAUGUGUGUGGAACAGGGAGCUGGCCUAGAGGAAGACAUGGGCCAUGGGCCCCAUGGUCAGACAGGUCAGGAUUCAUGUCUUGGUUCUGCCACUUCACAGCGAUGUGGCAUGGGCCUCUGUGAGCCUCCGUGAAGGUAAAGCAGUGUCUACCCCACAGGGUUGCUGAUGUACAGAGGGCCCCUGCACGGGCGUGACACCGUGUAGUGACGUAAUAAAUGAAAGUUGUCUCCCUUCUGGGGGGAAGGGAAGCUGUGCAGUUGAGGGGCCAUCUGAGCGGAGCUUUGAAGAAGAAUUCUUCAGAUAAACAAAAGACAAGUACUUUGUAGGCAGAGGAAACUACAUGAAUAAGCAAAUUAAGCAAAUCGUUUGUCAUCAUCCAAAGAAAAGCUUUAAAAAAAGUUAACCUAGCCGACCCCCCCCACCCCCCAUGGAAUUUGUGGCCCUUAACAUGGACCCCGAAGCUUCCAGCAGGCCCAGGGCUCAGAUUUUGACUCAGAAAAGAAAUGCCCUUGAAGGAGGGAAGGGGAUGUCAAUAAUCAUGCAGUUUCCUGCUCAGUGCUGCACGGGCUUCGAUCUCAGCCUGGUGAGGACUGGCCGCAGCUAGGGCAGCAGGUAGGGAGGCAGCGGGCUUUCCCUGAAGCAGAAGUAAGCUGUUUCCUGAGGUGCCCAUCCACAGGAUACAAAGCAGCUGUAUUCAGAGGCGCCUCCCUCCACACUGCCUUGUCCUCAACAGAAACUUGUUUUGUUAGGGUGGAUUAGUCUCUUAGGUAAAUAUUUGGCAUUUCCUUUCACAUCAGUUUAUCAAGAGAUGCAGAUCCAGACAUUAAUUAUUCAGCCCCGCUCAGUCUCUUCCUCCCCCAGUGAGAACCGGUCCACAGCGUGUAAGAGGCACCCUCCGCUCUUGGAGAGGUCCAGAGAAGGGUGGCAGGUGGCCGUGGGAGAUGUGCUACGUAAGGCCUAGAGGCCCUGCUGCCAGGCUCUCAAUUAUGUGAACUGGGGAGUCACCAGCCCGCCUCCUCCAAGAGCUUGAGGGAUCGGCAAGACUUGGGAACAUUGUCACUCAACGUAAGAGGACAUGACUGUUUACUCCUGCAAGAGACCUGUGAAAAUCUGAUUUUUCUGCCUCUGCCAAAACCGUCGCCCUCUCCGUAACCCUGGUGCCUCCAAGUACAGCCUUUCAGAAAAGCCAGAAAGCAGAGGUAGAUAAGCAGCCAGAGAGAACUGAGUGGACAAUAACAGGAUUCGACGACUGACCUCAUUCACCAUUUCCUCCAGGACUGUCUUCUGCCAGCUCCCUGCCGACCUUCUGCCCUCUGCCCUGCCCACUGUCCUGCCCCUACCCUCAAAAGAAGGGUGAACUGGGUAGGCAAUUCUUAUUCUGAACACAUUCGGCCCAUCUUUGUGUGGACUCUGGAGUUCCUUAGAGCAAUCUUGGUUGGGGGACGUGGCAUUGCAUUCCACGUGGAUCAAUGGAUUGAUUGGCAGACCAAGAAAUCACAAGCUCCGGGUGUCGGAUUAAUUUAACUCACAUGAACUGUGAGCCCAUGGUUGGCUGGGAUUUGAGUCUGGGUGACAUCCAAGAUCUGAAACCAGGGAGGGCCUGGAGAGGCAGGAAGAGAAGCGGGUCUUGUGCAGUGGCCGGCAAACUGUGUCCCGGGGGUCAGACCCAGCCUGCCACCUGUUUUUGCACAGCCUAUGAGCUAAGAAUGGUUUUUACAUUUUUUAAUGGUUGGAAACAUCAAAAGAAGAGAAUUUUCUAACAUGUAAAAAUUAAAUGAAAUUCAACUGCAGUGUCCAUCAAUGAAGUUGUCUGGGACCACAGCCAUGCCCAUCCAUUUAUGAAUGUAUUGUCUUUGCCUGGCUGCUCAGCAGCAGAGCUGAGUGGCUGUGACAGAAACCAUAUGGCUCCCAAAGCUGAACGUGUCUACCUUCUGGCUCUUUACAGAAGGAGUUCGCUUAUCCCUGCUGUCAUUCAUUUUUAUGAGAGUGUAGUCUGGUGGAGGAGGUGAACGAAAAGGGAGCUUUCUGAGUGUCACCUAAUGUGCUUUACAGCUAUGAGUCCACGUCAUCCUCACAGCAGCCAUGUGACUGAGAACUGUUAUCCUGGUUUUCCACAAGAGCAAACGGAGAAGCACCCAGUCAGAAGGGGGUGGUGCUGGGAUCUGCCCCCGGCACUGGGACCACCACGAACCAGGGCAGUGACGAUGACCAGGGAAGGGGCAGAAGCAGUGCCGAGGCAGGCAAAGAAGGUCGUGAACAGAGUAAGAUUAAGAAGCACAGAGCUGUUAAGAAAGAGCCUCCAGCCAUCGCCAGUUUGGCCUCAGUGGAUAGAGCGUCGACCUGGGGACUGAGGGGCCCCGGGUUUGAUUCUGGUCAAGGGCAUGUACCUUGGUUGCAGACUCCUGGCCCUGGUCGGGGUGCAUGCAGGAGGCAACCAAUCGACGUGUCUCUCUCACAUCCGUGUUUCUCUCUCACAUCCGUGUUUCUCUCGCCGUCUCUCCCUCUCUCUCUAAAAAUAGAAAAAUACCCUCGGGUGAGGAUUAAAAAGGAGGAGACUCCAGGUGGAGGGUGUUCCGUGGGGAAAGGGAGGGCGUUGGGAACGGUUGGUAUUUACUGAGAAUGGGAGGAGCUGAGCCCAGAAACUACAGUUGGACUGGCUCCUUGGCGUGACAGCUCUGCCUGGCGGUGCCUAGAAGACAGGCUGCUGCUGGUGCCUGGCACACCUUCACCCAGUGGGGGUCCAGUGAGGCUUGGGGUGGGGUGCAGCUCAUCCCCGGUCAGUCCGAGUAUGAAGCAUAUGCUUACUCACACUCGGUCUCCGGACGCUCCCUCUGGCACUGAGCCUGACCUCCUCAGUGGCCAUUUUCUGCUACACUGUCAGGCCUUCGUGCUGGGGGCCUGGCAGGGCAACCAGAGCCUCCUCUGUGCCAAGUACUGAAUCGGGUAUUUAUAUGUGUGUAAAGGCAUGCCCUGUUGCUGAGGGCUUGGGAAUGAAGGUCAGAGAACAAACGAGUUUAAAUCCUGGCUGUCACUUACUGUGACCUGGGGUGGGGGAGGGUGCCUCUCACCUCUGAGCCUGUUUUCUGUUUGCCCGUCUGCAGGAGGGGGAGAGUAAGAGAACCAGCCCCCCAGGUCAUGCUGAGCAUUAGGCACCGAGAAUGGCAGCUCCUAUGAUGUCUCCCUUAGUCUUCACAGCCCAUUUCACUGAUGAGGUGACAGGCUCAGAAGUUUGCCCAGGGUUGGCAGUGACCAGAUGGUGGAGCUGGACAGCCAAAGCUCAGGUUCUCUGCCCUUGACCAUGGCAAGAGAAGCCAUUCCACCUUUGUGUACCCAUGUCCUGCACAGCUUUUCCCCCCACGGUCUGAAGGGCAUGGCGUAUAGAGGAGGGGCGGAGGCUGGGGGUGCUGGAGGCAAGCGGGGACACCUCCACUCGCUGCUCAGGCCUCCAGACGAGCGCUGUGGAAGCAGCAGCAGCUGCUUGCUUUGUUGUUCCGCUCCUGCCACUGUCCACAGACACAACCAGAGGUCUCAGGUGGGGAGCAGGAGCUGGCGUGUCUCAGGCCUCUGGUUCAAGGCCAGGUUCUCUGCAGUGUGACCCGCUGGCAGUCUACGGUGGUCACAAAGCUACCUGUCCACAGCGUCUCAGCACUCUAGAGUGGCUCUUUUCUCCGACACUCACACCAAACAGCCCAGGCCUCCACCCCACACAUUCCACAGCCCAGCAAUUUACCCAGGAUUUCACGUAGGUGGUUUAGAGGUGUGUUUUUUUAAAAAAAAUCCAGUUCUGAGUCUGCCUUUAAACCAGAACAGUGUAAUUACUGAUAUUCAUGUGAGUCUAGAUCAUUGUGGGCUUUGUUUGUUCCUCCUGGUCUGUUUUUCUCCUUUACCACUUUUUCCCUACGUGUUUGGAGGUUAAAUGCUGUUUCUAUUAGUUUAGGGGUUUCCUUCUUGCCUGCUAUGAAGUCAACCUGUUCCCACUCUGAUUCUUGCCCCCAUUAUGCUCACUUCUUGCCCCUUGUCUGCUGUUCUCUUCCCCCCUUCUCUUCAUGCAUUCACUGCUGAGGUUGCAACCACCUUUUACUUACCCCAUAGGUAACACGGGGUUGGGGGGAAUUCAAGUUGCUAAGCUUCUUAGAGCCCCGAGGCCAUGAGGAUUUUCAGCUUGCACAUUGUCCCUCCUUAGGUCCUAGCCAGUGCCCUCUAACUCUAGGUGUGGUUUGUAUUUUUUUGGUUUUGUUUUUUCAUAAUUUGUUGUUGUUGUUGUUAAUCCUUAUCCCAGGAUAUUUUUCCAUUGAUUUUUAGAGAGUGGAAGGGAGGGGGAGAGACAGAGAAACAUUGCUGCGAGAGAGACACAUUGAUUAGUUGCCUCCUGCAUAUGCCCCAACCAGGGCCAACGAUCGAGCCUGCAACCUAAGUACAUGCCCUUGACCGGAAUCGGACCCGGGACCCUUCAGUCUACAGGCUAACGCUCUAUCCACUGAGCCAAAGCAGCUCGGGCUAACUCCAGAUCUUCUCUCCCACAGUCCCACCCCCACCUCACACCUUCCUGCCUUGCCCAGUUUUACUCCUUGGACUUCUCGUUAUCUGAACUCAAGUUAAAUCUGCUUACUUGUUAACUGUCUCCCACUAAGCUCCACAAGGGUAUCUUUUCACCACUGUAUCCCCAGGGUCUGAGGCUGGGCAUGGCAUACAGCAGUGAAGACAACAGGAGCGAAUAUUUGUUGAACUAAUACAGUGGUUCUCAACCUGUGGGUCGCGACCCCUUUGGCGGUCAAACGACCCUUUCACAGGGGUUGCCUAAUACCAUCCUGCAUAUCAGAUAUUUACAUGACGGUUCAUCACAGUAGCAUCAUUACAGUUAUGAAGUAGCAACGAAAAUAAUUCCACAACAUGAGGAACUGUAUUUAAAGGGCCAGACGGUUGAGAACCACUGAACUAACGGGUGAAUGCUGGCAACUCAGUCCUCCGUGGGAACAUUUACCAGUCAGUC
Molecule: RNA transcript, 5974 nt
Organism: Myotis daubentonii (Daubenton's bat)
Lineage: Eukaryota; Metazoa; Chordata; Mammalia; Chiroptera; Vespertilionidae
Gene name: SH3 domain-binding protein 1-like
Exons: 3
Source: RefSeq, a predicted model, not a curated record